This is a long non-coding RNA of Hippocampus zosterae (dwarf seahorse), 1832 nucleotides long. RefSeq lists it as uncharacterized. The record is from RefSeq and is a predicted model, not a curated record. Lineage: Eukaryota; Metazoa; Chordata; Actinopteri; Syngnathiformes; Syngnathidae. The transcript is spliced from 2 exons.
GCGGCCAAUUAGCUCCCUGCCCCCUUUCCUGUGGGGGAGGAAAGCGGGCAAGAUGGAGGUGGGGUCUACUUCUUCUUUUUUUUUUUUUUUUCUCGGAGUGAAAUGAAGGAGACACACGGAAGGGGAGGUCUCUUCUGAUCUGACAUCGUCAUAAAGGAAUCCCCUGAAAUGGGUUCAGCCCCGCCCACUUGCUUAUUCUCACCCCAUCCGGCUUCCCAGACACACUCGCCUUCUCACAUGCUCGUGUCUGCACCGCUCACAGAGGAGGAGGGAGACAGAGAGAGAGAGAGAGAGACGGGAAGGAGAGGGGACGAGUGAGAGAGAGGGAGAGCGAGAGGCCGACAUCUGUGUAGUUGAGCCACAUCACUGGAGAGCAUGGUGAGAGUCAACGGGAGAGAGACCAAAGACAGGAGUAACAAAAGUUCUCUCAGAUGCGGCGUCGACGACGGCGACGACGUUUCCCGUCGCAGGCCGUCUCUGUUGACCAGGGGAAUUCCUGGCAGAGUGAUUUUGGAGACUAAAUACUGAAUCACAUUGCCAGGGAUUUCCAAUGGCUGGCAUGAGGAAUGCGACGCGCUCGCUCACCUUUCUGAUUGGCUCACUCACACAAAAACUCACACUCCUCUUUUGCUCCCGGCACCCGGCCGUGCGGCGGCAGGACUUAGCGCACAUGUGAACAGAGUCUGCCAUGUUCACAGUGGUUAAGUUCUGUCGCCACAGGGCUGCAAACUGCUAGUGGUUGGAGGAAAGGUCAAGGUCGCGGGUUUACAUCAGCAGAGGGAAACUGAAAUUUUGGAUUUUAGAUUUAAAGAACACAUAGUUUUUUUUUGUUUUUUUGCUUUUUAAUAAUGUGCAUUAUUUUGCUUCUUGAAAAAUAUUGCGCUUGUGUGAAGCAAGCGUGAUUCCGGGAGAUGUUGUGCAUGUGCAUGUAAGUCAUGCUGGUGGAUUAAGAAAAGGGGCAUGAAAAUGAUACAAAUCAAUCUGUUCAAAUGGAAAUUUUGUUUUAAAUUUUACAUUUUAUUCCAAAGCUGAUGUAUAAUGACCAGCAAUAAAGGCCUCCCUCAUUACACCUCUGCUCUCUGAUAUGUUCAUAUGAUAAUAUGUCUUCUAAACCAUUUUCAACCACAGCAAAAUACAACAUUGGUGUUGAAAAAAUGUGCCCCUUGGAUUUAGUUACACAUCUAUAUAUAUAUUUCUUGUGCAUGUCCCUACUCAGUUGCGCGUUGCUGUAAAAUGCCGACAGAGCUUGUGAAACAAUUCAUAUAUUGAAGGGUCAAAAAUAAAAAUAAAAACCUCUUGUGCCUAUUCAUCGCACUGGUUGGAGUGUUGCGUGUGUAUGACGGAUGACUCACCAUUGUGUUAUGACAAUGUCAGCGCGCUGCACCCAGCUCACGGGAGAUGGUAUAAUGCCGUCUGCUAAUAACUGCUAAUCUGUUGAAAAAGCAAAAUGUCAUCAGCUCCCUCAUCACUCUCUAAAGGACACUGUGAAACGUCGGAAUUGCUUUUUUUUUUUGCUCUGAUUAUGCUUCGCCUUUGAAUUUCUGUAGCAAUUAGUUUUACCUGAAUAAUAUAUACAUAUAUAUCUUUGUUUAUAUUAGUAUAAACACAAUACUGGACCGGUCUCCUGUGCCUGCUGUGCUGAUAAUCAGUGUGUGACGUCGGCUGGCUCAGUUCAGCAGGAACAGGGGCCUGUAGUCUCAUUUACGCUCACUUCCUUAUGCCUGUACACCGGAGGUGCAGUCUAUGCACAUGUUCUAUUGAAGUGACUUGUUUGUUCGUUGAUGUCUGCUUGAUUAAAUGGAUGUGAUUAAGAAUUAAAAUCUUUUUGGUGA